Molecule: ribosomal RNA, 505 nt
Filed under: uncultured bacterium
Lineage: Bacteria
Description: partial 16S ribosomal RNA
Rfam family: Bacterial small subunit ribosomal RNA
Source: RNAcentral
GACGAACGCUGGCGGCGUGCCUAAUACAUGCAAGUAGAACGCACAGUUUAUACCGUAGCUUGCUACACCAUAGACUGUGAGUUGCGAACGGGUGAGUAACGCGUAGGUAACCUGCCUGGUAGCGGGGGAUAACUAUUGGAAACGAUAGCUAAUACCGCAUAAUAUUAAUUAUUGCAUGAUAAUUGAUUGAAAGAUGCAACUGCAUCACUACCAGAUGGACCUGCGUUGUAUUAGCUAGUAGGUGAGGUAACGGCUCACCUAGGCGACGAUACAUAGCCGACCUGAGAGGGUGAUCGGCCACACUGGGACUGAGACACGGCCCAGACUCCUACGGGCGGCAGCAGUAGGGAAUCUUCGGCAAUGGACGAAAGUCUGACCGAGCAACGCCGCGUGAGUGAAGAAGGUUGUCGGAUCGUAAAGCUCUGUUGUAAGAGAAGCACGGGUGUGAGAGUGGAAAGUUCACACUGUGACGGUAUCUUACCAGAAAGGGACGGCUAACUACGUG